This is a non-coding RNA of Xylaria sp. FL0933, 117 nucleotides long. NCBI's taxonomy places the organism in Eukaryota, Fungi, Ascomycota, Sordariomycetes, Xylariales, Xylariaceae. The record is from the annotation of a GenBank genome assembly.
GCUGUGAUGGUGUAGGGGUAACAUCUAAGCUUCCCAAGACAGAAUCUAUGGUCUUCACGAUCGUAUGAUUUACAAUCUAGCUUGCUUAGGCUCCGAGUUCGAGUCUCGGUCACAGCA